RNAcentral lists this transfer RNA (66 nucleotides) under bovine gut metagenome. It matches the Rfam family "tRNA". Rfam says of the family: Transfer RNA (tRNA) molecules are approximately 80 nucleotides in length. Their secondary structure includes four short double-helical elements and three loops (D, anti-codon, and T loops). Further hydrogen bonds mediate the characteristic L-shaped molecular structure. tRNAs have two regions of fundamental functional importance: the anti-codon, which is responsible for specific mRNA codon recognition, and the 3' end, to which the tRNAs corresponding amino acid is attached (by aminoacyl-tRNA synthetases). tRNAs cope with the degeneracy of the genetic code in two manners: having more than one tRNA (with a specific anti-codon) for a particular amino acid; and 'wobble' base-pairing, i.e. permitting non-standard base-pairing at the 3rd anti-codon position. The record is from RNAcentral.
GAUCAUAGCUUAACGGAAGAGCACCGGAUUGUGGCUCCGGCAUGUGCAGGUUCGAAUCCUGCUGGU